UUAACUAUUAUCAUAUAUGGUACUCAGACGACACUAACUCUUCAGAAUUUGGGGUCCUUUGGCAGGCGCUUACCAGCAGAGCCGGUAGACCAGCAGUUCGGCCUGCCAAAGCAACAGAGGUAAGUAGACAAAGGGUGGGAGAUCUACCCUAUAGGGCAUGAACUCUGUAAUGAUCCCUCCGCAGGUUCACCUACGGAGA
RNAcentral lists this unclassified non-coding RNA (199 nucleotides) under uncultured fungus. RNAcentral describes it as "sequence contains ITS1". The record is from RNAcentral. Lineage: Eukaryota; Fungi.